AACCCAUGAUGAGAGCACAUUCUCAAAAGAUCUUUAAAUCUCUCCCAUGUAUCAUAUACUGUCUCUAUAUCAAAUUGAACAAUAGAAGAGAUGUCGUUUCUCAACUU
Molecule: small nucleolar RNA, 107 nt
Organism: Gossypium raimondii (Peruvian cotton)
Lineage: Eukaryota; Viridiplantae; Streptophyta; Magnoliopsida; Malvales; Malvaceae
Rfam family: Plant small nucleolar RNA R71
About the family: R71 is a member of the C/D box family of snoRNAs containing the C (UGAUGA) and D (CUGA) box motifs. Multiple nearly identical copies of this snoRNA have been identified in Arabidopsis, and it is thought to function as a 2'-O-ribose methylation guide for 18S ribosomal RNA.
Source: Rfam